Molecule: long non-coding RNA, 583 nt
Filed under: Equus asinus (donkey)
Lineage: Eukaryota; Metazoa; Chordata; Mammalia; Perissodactyla; Equidae
Description: lncRNA (ENSEASG00005032961.1)
Source: RNAcentral
GCAACAUGCAAAGCACUUAGGAUAAUGCUUGGUAAAUAGCGAAUGCUAACUAUCAGUGUUAAUUAUUAUAGAAUGGAAACUUUGCAUUUUUACAUUUAGGUGAAAAAUUAUAAAAUAUGAAGCAUUCUGAAGAUAUCGAUGUAAUGUGGUUUUCACCAUUGACAUUUGCAAAAUGUGUCAAUAAAAGGAAGAUCUAAGACACAGAAGAGCUCAUAAAACAGUGGUGUCUGCGUAUGUUGACAUACUUUUAGUGCAAUGUAGUGACUGAUGAUGUGACAGUUCUGGUGGGAUAAUGUCACUAUUUCUAUGUCAAAGACAAAGCACCAUUCACAAUAGCCAAGACAUGGAAGCAACCUAAGUGCCCACUGACCAAUGACUGGAUAAAGAAGAUGUGAUGUAUAUAUACAAUGGAAUACUACUCAGCCAGAAGGAAAGACAAAUUCAUCCCAUUUGUAAUAACGUGGAAGGACCUAGAGGGAAUUAUGCUAUGUGAAAUAAGCCAGUCUGAGAAAGACAAACACCAGACGAUUUCACUCAUGUGUGGAAUAUAAACAAGUACUGGGACAAAGAAAACAAUUCCGUG